AGUGAACGCUGGCGGCAGGCCUAACACAUGCAAGUCGAACGGCAGCACAGGGGUAGCAAUACCCUGGGUGGCGAGUGGCGGACGGGUGAGGAAUACGUCGGAAUCUGCCUAUUUGUGGGGGAUAACGUAGGGAAACUUACGCUAAUACCGCAUACGACCUGAGGGUGAAAGCGGGGGAUCGCAAGACCUCGCGCUAUUGGAGCGGCCGAUGUCAGAUUAGCUAGUUGGUGGGGAAAGGCCUACCAAGGCUACGAUCUGUAGUUGGUCUGAGAGGACGACCAGCCACACUGGGACUGAGACACGGCCCAGACUCCUACGGGAGGCAGCAGUGGGGAAUUUUGGACAA
This 346-nucleotide ribosomal RNA is filed under the name uncultured bacterium. RNAcentral describes it as "bacterial SSU rRNA". It matches the Rfam family "Bacterial small subunit ribosomal RNA", at positions 29 to 371 of the family's 1533-position model. The record is from RNAcentral.